Molecule: RNA transcript, 2376 nt
Organism: Aedes aegypti (yellow fever mosquito)
Lineage: Eukaryota; Metazoa; Arthropoda; Insecta; Diptera; Culicidae
Gene: Skp2
Gene name: S-phase kinase-associated protein 2
Exons: 3
Source: RefSeq, a predicted model, not a curated record
GCGAAGAAGCAAACACCAAUGAAGGAUACAACCCUGGAUGCGAAGAAGCAACGAAUCAAAACAGAGUUCGAUGAUGUGACAGCGAAAAAUGUCAUUCGGAAGCGAACGUAACGCCUGGCAGUGCAUCAAUGAAAACAGCUGAUUUUACGCAAGGAGCGGCUUUCUCACAACAAUCGCAAAUAUCAUGGAACCGCGAGUGGAUAGAUUGUGCAUUCGCAAUUUUCCGGAAUCUUUCAGUGAAUCGGACGUCAAAGAAUUCCUCUCUCGGUUCGGUAUCGGUAGUGUGGAGUUUCUGAAGCGUCGUAGAAAACUUACAGCUAUCGUUUACAGUUCGGAACAAGUGUUAACCAAGUGCAUUCUAUCGCGACUUCACCAGCUGAAAGUCCUCGACAAACGGCUGAUUGUUGAGUACUAUGAAGGAUCGGCGGAAGUGGAAAUCGUCGAUGGUGAGAGUGAGACAAAGAAUACGUCCAGGGUCCAUUCGGCUCAAGAGUUAAGCAAGUUUGUUAAAGCCCUACACGCCGUCCAUCCAGUGGACUUUGAUCAGCCUCCACCGCCGUAUCUCCGGUAUCGAUAUCCUCGAGCUACGCGGGAAAUAAUCGACAGCAUUUGUGUGGCGCUGGAAUCGGUGCCGAAGUUCUACACCCAAGUGCUUCAUUUGAUGAAUCGGAUGAAUCUGCCUCCUCCCUUCACGACACGGGAUGUAGAACGGCGGGGUUCCGUAGUGGAGAAACGGGAUGCUGUCCAGCAAACGGAUCCUGUUCGAAUCAAAGAGUGUCUCCUGGUGGAUGAUGAAUCCGAACUUGAGUCGGACGAAGAAACGCCACAGGCUGUAGGACCUACCAAGCAAAAGGUUUCUCUAGAUAGAAACCGAUUCAAGCCUUACGUUUUGCCACAAGUGGUCAACGUUCCUCAUAACGGUUCAAACUUAGUUAAAUCUACUCCUCAACCUAAACCCAUGAAAGCUAGUCAGAACAUCAUUCUUCGGAUUCCAGACAAACUCAAGACUUCUAAGAAAGUUCCUACAUCUCCACCGAAAUCUCCUAUGCCACCCCCCACAAAUCCCCCAACAAUUACCACGGAAAUCGACCUCCUUGCCAAUCGCAUCCCACCGGACCAAUUGACCGAUCUCCCGGUCUUUAAAAACUACACCCCCGGCGAACCAUCCAACAAGCUCUACCUGAAAAACCUCGCCAAAACCGUCACUGAAGACGACCUCAAACGAAUCUUCCACCGGUUCGCCAUCACCGGCCAUCCCGACCGCGAAAUCGACAUCAAACUCAUGCAAAGUGGCCGCAUGAAGGGGCAAGCCUUCGUCACAUUCUCCUACAUCUACGAGGAAGACCUCGACCUAAUGGAGGAGAAGCCCAUAGCACGUGCGUUGAGGCUCACCAACGGGCUCCUACUGAAGGACAAACCGAUGGUGGUGGCGUACGGGAAGAGCAGCGCGGCCAAAGUCGAAAAAGAAGACGGAGGGGAGAAAGCGUCGUAGUCGCGAUCGUUCAUGUCUUUAUCUUGUCGUCGUGAAUCUAAUUUCGGACCCCGCGAGGAGAGAAGAAAGUUUUUGCGCGUUUGUUUGAUGUGUGCUUAUUACGCCGUUUAAAAAUAUGUAUAUGAAUGUCUAUGCAAAUGAGCGCGCUUUGCGCGAGAGGACUACACAAACAAGAAUUGGAGGUAGUAUUUGCGCGUGUUGACGAAUCGAAAGGAUGACCGAAUUGAUGUGAUGUCUUGUGGUGACGAAGUUUGAGUUAUCGAGUCGUAAAUUUUGGCGUUUUUUGAACGAAAGAUAAUUUGAUGGAUGCUGAUAAAAGGUGUGAUAUAAAAGGUGGAACCGCGGGAUUAGCUGCAUAUAGAAGCUCUGCUAAAGCUUAUUGACCGUUGUCCUGAUCUACUGGAGCUGGAUCUCUCCGAUUGCACUCAGUUGUCUUCGGAAGCGAUGAAGAUAGUGUGCAAGUUGAAAAAGCUAGAAUAUCUAUCCCUAUCGCGGUGCUAUAACAUCAACGUCACCUCUUAUCUCCAACUGGGCGCAAUCGAACCGUUGCAAUUUCUGGACAUCUUUGGGCUCCUGUCGGAGCCAGCCCUGGCCAUGCUGCAGACGUCCUUCCCCGGCGUAGGGAUCAACAAGUUCAUGCACAGUUCGGUGGCGAGGCCAACCGUCGGAUCACGGCGGACCUCCAUUUGGGGCCUGCGGACACGAGACUGAUUCCGGGUAACGUUGUCAUCCGAACGGUUUGCAUUUAUUUCCCAUUAAAACGAUUCUUCAGGUGUAAAUAAUGAUUCACUCGCGUAAUUGUAAUUACUCAGUAGAGACGAAUAAUAGUGAUACCGAGUCAGAUGGAGCUCUCUGCUCGUCUGUUGUUCUUAUAAAAUAGUGUA